AUCCAGCUGACGAGUCCCGAGUAGGACGAAUCGCGUAUCCUGGAU
This is a non-coding RNA of Schistosoma rodhaini, 45 nucleotides long. The record is from Rfam. Lineage: Eukaryota; Metazoa; Platyhelminthes; Trematoda; Strigeidida; Schistosomatidae.